GCCUGGGUGGCUCAGCGGUUGAGCAUCUGCCUUCAGCACAGGACUUGAUCCCGGAGUUCUGGGAUCAAGUCCCACAUCGGGCU
Molecule: non-coding RNA, 83 nt
Organism: Canis lupus familiaris (dog)
Lineage: Eukaryota; Metazoa; Chordata; Mammalia; Carnivora; Canidae
Source: Rfam